UCUCCAAACGACAGCCCAUGUGCACAUAGCUGUACCUGCAGUGUGGAAGGACAGUCAGAGACUGGGACCUGGGAGCAAGACAGGAAGCAAAGCCAUUGGGCAGUCCUGUCCAUCCCAGCUAUUCCUCUUGCCUCUGUGAUAAGCAUUGCCCUGGACUGCUUGGACAAGUAGGAGACCUCAGUUUCCAUAGAGGGGCCUAGUUCAAGACCCAAAACUUACUUCGAUGUAGGGUCUAGGAUCUAGAGCCACUGUCUUACUCCUCCUCUCGAAUCAUUCUGGGGUUAUCUGUUUCAUUCCUCAAGACAGUUAAAGCCUCUCUAGAGCCAGAUGGCAGCUGUUAAUACCUUUCUUGGGAUUUAGAUGAUGACGUGUCAUGCUGAGGGACCCUUUCCUAUGCAGAUACCAGCUGUCACAUUAGGGCAUGGGUGGGGCCAGCCCUCUGGGGUGUUUUGCUGAAGGAAGCAGGGCUUGCCCGAGUGUGCAGCACUGAAGGCCAGCUGGUCUACCUGGCCUGGAGGUAGUGUAAAGCCACUCUAGACUCACGUUGUAUUUCUCAUCUGUCUGCCUUGGGGACAGGCAAUGCCCCAGUAGGGGCUUGAUUGCUGUGAUCAUUUGGACUGUUCAGAAUCUGAUGUGUCUGACUGUCCUCUGGUUCUUCUAGGAUCUGAUAGUCCCACUCCCAAACACACCUUUCUCCAAUCUUCUCCCCUCUCUUAGUAACAGUGUUAGCCCUGCUGUGUUCAUGUCUUUCCCAGUCUCCUCCUUCCUUCCCCACAACAUACUGACCAUCUUCACCUGUGCUGAGUCCAGUUCACCACCUGCCCAAAUCUCUCUGCAGCUCAUCACCACCAGUGUGUCCUGAGAGGCUGGCAAAAUUUGCAAAAUGAAAAUGUCUUCUACCACAUUUUUCAGUUUUGCCACCAAAAUUUGACAGAGCCUGGAGCUGCUUCUGCUGCCCUGCGUGUGCUCAGUGACCUGGAGAGGAUCUAGCCAAGUCUCUCCUUAGCAGUUCCCAAGCUAUUCUUUCUCUCAUACCGUGCUGCUCUGGGAGGAGAGGGCAGCUCUUGGAGGAUGCUAGUCGUGAGGAAGCCUAUUGGACCACCACAACUCACUUGAAUACUUUGAUCCCAAAUUCUGCUGUUAUUAAAAUAGGCAGUAGGCUGGCAGCUGGGACGUGUGAGAGCAGACGAGGGAUUCUUUUCAGGCGGAGAACGAAUAAGGAAGACUGAGGAUGCAGAUUGGAAUGGAAGAAAAUGCCAAGUGAUUAAAUGGCUCUAGAUGAGUGGAGAUACGGCUUAAGAGAUUGAUG
RNAcentral lists this long non-coding RNA (1309 nucleotides) under Calidris pugnax (ruff). RNAcentral's name for it is "lncRNA (ENSCPUG00000011254.1)". The record is from RNAcentral. Lineage: Eukaryota; Metazoa; Chordata; Aves; Charadriiformes; Scolopacidae.